CCGAGUUUACAACUCCCAAACCCCUGUGAACAUACCACUUGUUGCCUCGGCGGAUCAGCCCGCUCCCGGUAAAACGGGACGGCCCGCCAGAGGACCCCUAAACUCUGUUUCUAUAUGUAACUUCCGAGUAAAACCAUAAAUAAAUCA
RNAcentral lists this unclassified non-coding RNA (147 nucleotides) under soil metagenome. RNAcentral describes it as "partial internal transcribed spacer 1". The record is from RNAcentral.